This 70-nucleotide microRNA precursor is filed under the name Medicago truncatula (barrel medic). Its description in RNAcentral is "MIR2629 microRNA precursor family". It matches the Rfam family "MIR2629 microRNA precursor family". The record is from Rfam by way of RNAcentral. Lineage: Eukaryota; Viridiplantae; Streptophyta; Magnoliopsida; Fabales; Fabaceae.
UUUUUUUUUUUUCGUCAGCAGUUAACUGCAGCCGGUUUCAAACUUCGGUAGUUAACUGUCGCAGGAGUAA